UCGACGUCGGCGACCUCGUUGCCGGAACCCCUGCCGGCUGGACUGGAGCCAUGCUCCCCACCACCUCGUGCUGCUAGGGCAUCGUUGCCUGCCGUCGGGGCCACCUCCCGUCGCCGGCCAACGCGCGCCCUUACCUCUCUACGUCCCUCGCGUCCGCCUGCCGCCGGCUCUCCCACCGUCAGGCCGCCACCGGCCAACCCUAGCUCUCCCCUGGCCGAUAAGCAAAAUUAUU
Molecule: long non-coding RNA, 232 nt
Filed under: Ananas comosus (pineapple)
Lineage: Eukaryota; Viridiplantae; Streptophyta; Magnoliopsida; Poales; Bromeliaceae
Description: long non-coding RNA (ACOM_LNC005576)
Source: RNAcentral